GUGAGGAAUUUUCCGCAAUGGGCGAAAGCCUGACGGAGCAAUGCCGCGUGAAGGAUGAAGGCCUAUGGGUUGUAAACUUCUUUUCUCAGAAAAGAAUUAUGACGGUAUCUGAGGAAUAAGCAUCGGCUAACUCUGUGCCAGCAGCCGCGGUAAGACAGAGGAUGCAAGCGUUAUCCGGAAUGAUUGGGCGUAAAGCGUCUGUAGGUUGUUUAAAAAGUAUUCUGUCAAAGAUUAGGGCUUAAACCUAGAGAGGCAGAAUAAACUUUUAAGCUAGAGGUUGGUAGAGGCAGAGGGAAUUCCCGGUGGAGAGGUGAAAUGCGUAGAUAGCGGGAGGAACACCAAAGGCGAAGGCACUCUGCUGGGCCAAUACUAACACUGAGAGACGAAAGCGAGGAGAGCAAAUGGGAUUAGAUACCCGUGUAGUCC
RNAcentral lists this ribosomal RNA (426 nucleotides) under uncultured bacterium. RNAcentral's name for it is "partial 16S ribosomal RNA". It matches the Rfam family "Bacterial small subunit ribosomal RNA", at positions 354 to 796 of the family's 1533-position model. The record is from RNAcentral.